AAAAAUCCUAAAAUCAUUAUUAAGGUUGUAUUUUUUCUCUAAAAUUGUCUUUCUGAAAGUUAUAAGAAGCAAAGUAAAAAAACAAAUUAAUGUAUUUAAACAAGUGAAGACCAAGUCUUUGAAAUAUUUUCUUGGAUUUUCAAAUUCUAUUUGAGUUUUGUCUCUCUUAGAAUUAAAAAUGUCGAGGAAAUCGACACCAACUUGCUCGUAAAUAAAUACAAUUUAAGAAAUAGAGGCAGCUCACUGGUAAGUGCUGCUAUUUGAGCUAUUUUUAGAACAGGCCAGCGGGCGACUCAUCUGGUCCUUACGGGCGUGUUGGUGACCCCUGCUCUAGACAUUUCACAUAUUUGCACUUGUAUCCUAUGACCACCAGAGGGCACCAUUGCCUAUUGAACACUUUGAUUGGACCCCCAGCCUCCUUGAAUGGUAACAUUCAGGUCAUUCAAUAAUAGCUGAGAUAGGCACCAGCGACCCCAAAGGGGAAUAAGCGGUAGGAAAUGGAUGGAUGGAUGGAUGUUAGUGCACCAGUCGAGGAAAAUAAUCAAACUGUUGUCUCUCUGUGUUGGCCCUGCGAUGAGGUGGCGACUUGUCCAGGGUGUACACCGCCUUCCGCCCGAUUGUAGCUGAGAUAGGCACCAGCGACCCCAAAGGGGAAUAAGCGGUAGGAAAUGGAUGGAUGGAUGGAUGUUAGUGCACCAGUCGAGGAAAAUAAUCAAACUGUUGUCUCUCUGUGUUGGCCCUGCGAUGAGGUGGGGACUUGUCCAGGGUGUACACCGCCUUCCACCUGAUUGUAGCUGAGAUAGGCACCAGCGCCCCCCGCGACCCCAAAGGGGAAUAAGCGGUGGCGACUUGUCCAGGGUGUACACCGCCUUCCACCCGAUUGUAGCUGAGAUAGGCACCAGCGCCCCCCGCGGACCCAAAAAGGGAAUAAGCGGUAGUAAAUGGAUGGAUGGAUAAAUAACAUACUGUAAUUUGAUUUUGAUAUUAUGUUUUUAUCUUGAUAGAUUGAAAAUGAACACGAAUGAGUUAACUGAUGUACAUUAUCACAUAAUUCAUUCAGAAAGUAUAAAUAACGUCCAAAAAAAGAUAGAUUAUUAUCAAACGCAACAUGUAAGUGUAAAAAAAAAAAUAGCCACAACAUAUUGAUUUGUACAUUUUCUUGUUCUAUUUUAAAACAAAUACAACAA
Long non-coding RNA from Nerophis ophidion (straightnose pipefish), 1187 nucleotides. RefSeq lists it as uncharacterized. The transcript is spliced from 2 exons. Lineage: Eukaryota; Metazoa; Chordata; Actinopteri; Syngnathiformes; Syngnathidae. The record is from RefSeq and is a predicted model, not a curated record.